This 229-nucleotide non-coding RNA is filed under the name Methylotuvimicrobium alcaliphilum. RNAcentral also lists the same sequence under 1 other name. Lineage: Bacteria; Pseudomonadati; Pseudomonadota; Gammaproteobacteria; Methylococcales; Methylococcaceae. The record is from RNAcentral.
AUGCCCUCCUUGCUUUCAGGUGCCCCGCCCUAGAAUCGACCUGUCGAUUCUAGGGCGGGGUUAAACGGGAAGCCGGUCAGGUCAUCAAGCCAAAGCCGGCGCUGCCCCCGCAACGGUAGAUAAGUAAAGAAUCAUCAAUUUGCCACUGUGUGCAAUGACAUGGGAAGGCGAUGAUUCAGGCCUAUGGCCACUUAUAAGCCCGGAGACCGGCCCGAUAGCGAUUCGACAC